Molecule: long non-coding RNA, 4464 nt
Organism: Bactrocera dorsalis (oriental fruit fly)
Lineage: Eukaryota; Metazoa; Arthropoda; Insecta; Diptera; Tephritidae
Exons: 3
Source: RefSeq, a predicted model, not a curated record
AUUUAUAUACACGCAAUUAUUGAUGUUGUUUAGUUAAUCAAUAAGAGAAAUUGGUUUUUAUGUAAUUUUUAUAAAAAUAUGAAAAACUUGGCAAUCAAUUCACUUUAACGAAAAUGGCAAGGUUAUGUUCGAAAUUAUGCACAGCUGUUGUAAAUUCGAAUGGCCACCAAGAAUGAUAGAAUACAACAUUACGACAACCGCCAUUAUGAAACGUCAUAGUUGCGUGUUGAGAAGAACAAGAGUGAAAAACUAUCAAAUGGCUUGCAAAUUGUAAACAGAAAAGUGAACACUUUUGUAAAUUCGCAAAAUAUUAUUAAUUCUUUCGAUUUUAAUGAAAAGUUUUAGUGAAGCGAUUGAAUAUUGUUGAGUGAAAAGAUUUGAAUCAUUUCUAAAGAAAUAUAUCGGCCUAUUGAUAAUAAAAUUGUCUAUUAAGUUGUGAUUCAAAUGGAGAAGACGUUUCUUGUGUUGUAUAUAAAUAUAUACAUAUAUUAUAAGUUCAGAUGUAUCAGAUGUAUGAAAUUAUGAUAAAAGAAUUGUGAAAUUAAUUAAUUAAAAAGGAUUUAGUAUUAAAUAUAUCAUUUCUUUUGCAAAAUAACACCCAUUUUUUUGGCAACUUUUAAAUCGGCCGAAAAACAGAAAAAACUCGUUUUCGAUCCUUUAAUUGCAUAAUAAUUAUUACAACAAGCCACUGCACAUUUCAUUUUAAAAAAUUAAUAUAUUUAUGCUUAGAAAUUUAAAUAAAUACAACAGUACACUUUCACUGGUUUUCUUCAUUUGAACAAUUUCCACACAUGCUACUCUAUUUAUUGUGGAUGUGCCUAAAACUACUUACAUAUAUCUUUUCUCGCAACAAUAUUCUAAACAUUCCACUGAAAUUUUUCCUGCAAAGACGAAUGAAUUAAUAUUAUUUUGGGAAUUUCCAAAAGUGUUUACUUUUCUGUUUACAAUUUGUAUGCAUUUCUAUACUUGUUCUUCUCAACGCAAAAGUGUGACGUCACGAAAUUGUUGCACAAUGUAUUUGUUUUUGUAAGAAUUGUCAAGAGCUAAACCGAAAAAAACUAACGAAGAAUUCUCUGUUAACUGUGGCAUCGAAGAAUUCAUCGUUAACUGUGGCAUCGAAAAAUUCUUCGUUAACUGUGGCAUCGAAUAAUUCUUCGUUAACUUUGGCAUCGAAGAACUCUUCGUUACGCCGUGUUAAUUUUCAUCGGUCGGAGUAAGCGAUACAAUCAUGCUGCUUACCUUGCUUGCUUACUAAUGUCUACCAUAUCCCGCUGGGUAGUUGCUUAACACGUUGGCUGCCAAUGUAUCACCGGUGAUCGCAACAAAAAACUACCCCCAGGUGCCAAUGUAUCACCGGUGAUACACGCCUAGGCCUCUAGAAUUUAGGGGCUGGGGACUUAACGGAAGGAGUUUUAAGAAAGACGAAACUGCAAUUCAUUCGUGUAAACAAAAAAAAAUUAUAUAAAUUCAAUGUAUUUGCUGAAAAUGAUUGAGGCAUAAAAAUGGAGACCGAGGACAUUGCCGCAGUAUGUGGAUACAAGUUUGGCCUUCUUCCUUGCAGCUGACGAAGAGGUUGCAGUCUUCAGUUCAGAAUAGCAGCCUCCGCAGCGAUAUCUCUUUCGCCUUCCGUCCUUUGUUACUUCCACUGAUGUCGUCAAAAUGUGCUUGCCUUGAGGAGGUGUUCGCGAAAUUGAAGCGCUAUCCCUUCCACUUAAAUUUAGAAUUAUAUUUUGACGAAAGUCAGAUAUUUUCAUACUGGAAUUACUUUCGUUAUACAAAAUAUAUGCAUUUACAACCGCCGUAUUUAAAAGAAUAUCAAAAGCAACUUUAUGAAACCAGCGAAUAGUUUUACGGAGAGGACUGAAGUAACUAGCCAUUUGAUCAGACAAAUCUAUUCCUAUAGUGGGAAAAAAUCAAUAAAUAUUUAUGUAUUGAAAUAAACGAAUUUUUAAAGCUCUCAACAAACCUUGUUUGCAUUUGUUGUACUCCAUUAUUACAUUCGGUUUUAAAACAUCUUGGCCGAGUCUAUUAUUUUUACCUGAAGGUACAAGUGAUCCGUUGUUUACAGUGGACAAGAAACAAACUUCUCUUUUAUCUCUCCAGUACCCGACUACGAUUCCAGAUCUUUCGAAAGUAACAUUAUCGCCUCUUUUCAGCGACCUAGGCAAUUUAGGUAAGCCUCUCCGGUUUUUUCUUAGAGUUCCCUGUAGAUGCGUUUUUCUAUUUAAGAGAGCAUUGCCCAAUUCGAUAGAAGUAUAAUAAUUGUCGACCGUAAGUGUACGGUUCUCUCCAAAAUAACCUUCCAUCAGUUGAAGGCAAAUAUUCGUUGCAAGAGAAAGUCCCGUGGUUGUAUCUGAUUUUCCAGUAUAGAGUUUCAAAUUAUAUAUGUAUGUAACCUUUUGUAUCUGCCAAUUUGAACACCUUGAUUCCAUAUUUAUGUGCUUUGCCAGGAAGGUAUUGCCGAAAUCGUAAACGACCACGGAAAGGUAUCAUACUUUCAUCAACAACAAGGUUUUUUCCAGCUGGUUUAUUUCGUUUAAAGGUUACAAUUGAUUCCUGCAAGAGUUUGUCAACUUUAAAAGUUUUAAACACUGUUUUAGACAACUGAGCUUUAUCUGCAAAGUGAACACAUUUUAUCAAGAUCUGGAACCGGUUACGAGCCAUAACGUGUGGGACGAAUGGCUUUUUGAACAAGGUAGUUGCUUUCCAAUAGUCCUCCAUUGAAGGGUAUUUUACCAUACCCAUAUACAUGACUAUGGCAAGAAACUCCAUGAUCUUCUUACGAUUCGUAUCCUUCCACUUAUUCAUCCUGCUGCGAGUACUAAUCCCACAUAUUUGAUAAUUAGCAUUUCUAUUAUUAAUUACUGUCAUCACUCGAUGUAUCACUGCUGGAAUCUGGGAUGUACGAUUCUUCAUCUGGACUAAAAUCUUGUCCACUAUCACUGGAAUCUUCUGCUGAUUCCAACACCUCCCGUAUUUCCUCGGAAUUCAUAACUUCACAACUUCACUUCACUUUCUCACUGAAUACUUGAACUGUUUGCUAUGAACUCUAGCUUUACACUGAUUUCCAUUUCGCAAUGUGAUCACCGGUGAUACACAUUGCAAAAAAUUAUUAACAGUUAAAAAAAAACAGCAAGUGUUCACCGGUGAUCACAGCAAAAAAAUAUUCUCAAACGCAUCGGGAGCAUGACUUUUAUUCAUGGUAAAAAAAUCCCAAUGUAACUCAAAGCACAGCAUGUAUUUUUUUGCUUGGCAACUGGGAGUAGUUUUUUGCUGUGAUCACCGGUGAUACAUUGGCAGCCAACGUGUUAAAAGAGAAAACAGCUAUUUAUUUGUGUUUGGUUUUGACAGGAAACUAAAACCACAUUCAGCACGCAGUGAAGAAAAUAUACGUAUAGUAGCCUUAGCUGAGAGUGUACACGAAGACCGGUGAAAGUCGAUUCGGCGCCGUUCGCAAUAACUCGGACUGACCUAUGGAACGACUUGGCGCAUUUUACAUUGAGAUCUUAAAUGGAAAGCGUUUAAAAUACAGCUUUUAUAAGAACUGAAGCCGCUUGACCUUCCCAAGUGACAUCGCUUCGUUCUAUGGGUCUUUGAAAAGUUCCAAGAACAUCCGACUCUUUCCAGCCAAAUUUUCUUCAGCGAUAAGGCCCAUUCAAUGGGUACGUAAACAAGCGAAAUUGCUGCAUUUGGGACGAAGAGCAAUCUGAAGAGAUUCAUGAAGUGUCUUUUCAUCAAUGAAAAAACAACGAUUUGGUGUGAAUCAUCAGUCCCUAUUUCUUCAAAAAUGAUGCCGGUGAGAACGUAGCCGUCCAUGGCGACCGUUAUCGCGCCAUGACAAUCGACUAUUUGAUGAUGCCUGAAAAUGAAGCUCGUUCUCGGCGACAUUUGGUUUCAACAAGACGGUGCCACUUCCUGCAUAUCUCAUCAAUCAAUGUAUAUAGUGAGAGAACACUUCGGUGAACAGGUAUAUUUACGUUUUGGGCCAGUCGAGUGGUCACCAAGAUCGUGUCAUAUCACACCGUUAGACUUUUCCCUGUGGGGGUACAUAAAAAAAAUCCUGCUUCGCUUCAGGCCUUGGAGGGCACAAUUCCGAUUUCUCUGGCGCCGUGAUCUGAAGGAAAGAGGAAGUCCUCCUGAUUAAAAAAAUAUAAUAACGUACCACAAACGCUUAGCAGAGAACGUCUAUCAAGAGAAGGUUCACGGCGCGGAGAUCGUAAAAAUAUUUUUGGCUAACUCGGUCGAGAUGGUCCAGUUUCACCACUGCCAGCUCGGCAGGAGAAAUUUUAACAUUUUCGCUCGAACAGAGCUGAGCGUGAAAUAAAAAUUAUGCUCAAAACUAUAUAUUGCUCUAACAGACGUAUGUUCGCUCUUUUGCUUAUAUUUUUAUACGUUUAUAUGCAAACAUGUGUAUUCGCAUGAAUUCUUUUUGUGCUUAUUAAUGAAUACAUGUGCAAUUGAAUA